CGGCUUUGUGCGAUUUACCCUCUCAAACUUUCUAGUUUGCAAGUCAGAAUUACUUUGAACGUCCCCUCUUCUGGACUCCCCUCCCCAAAGGGACUGGCGGCAAAGGAGAAUAGAACGCAGAUGGUUAAUAGUUCAAAUGAAAUGUAAAAACCUAUAAACCAAUAUUUUUUUAGAGGAGAAAAGCGUUCACCAAACCGCCACCCGGCAAGCGAGCAUCCGAUUUCCAUCCGGAGGAAAAAAUAUUUUAAAAACCAGACAUAAAAUUCCCUUUGCAAGAAAAGUGGCCCCUAAACUCCCUUGCCAAGGACACUGGGAGGAAGCAGAAAAGCAAAGACCAAGCUCGUACUUUUCAGUCCGCGGCUUGUGUGCCGCGAGGAGAGGCGCAAAGGGUGACACACCAGGAAAGUGGCUGUGAUUCAGCGUCCCUCUUAGCAGCAGGCACUGACAGAGGCAGGAGAGGAAAAAAGAAAGAAAGAAAGAGAAAACACAGCAAAUGAAUCAAACGGACGUAGCAGGCAAGAGUGUGGUUAUCGUUGGACCAGGAUUCAGGAUCUGACCGAGUAGCUGACUCUUAAUCCAGUUUGUGUUGAUCACCAGGAGGAUCUGGACCUCAGUGUUAUCACAUCUAAAGGUGAUAUGCCAACUCCACCUUUGCCUUCCACCAUGUUUGGAAGCUCCCUGAGGCCUCACCAGGAGCAGAUGCUCGUCCCAUGCUUCCUAUAAGCCUGCAGAACUGUGAGCCAUAAUAAACUGUGAAUUAUAAAUUGCCUUUAUAGCAAUGCAAAUGGACCAGUACAGAUGGGAUGCUGGGAAGACAGUUGUUCCACCUUCAGUAAAGUCCAUGGAACACAGUUGUGACUAUAUUCUAGGCCAGCCAAGAUGCUUGUACUCAGAAAGGAGUGAUCUCAGGACCAUAAGAAAGUGAAAAAAUAAAAAUAAGAAAACAAAGAAGGGAUUGUCAAUGAAUCAGAAUUCAUCAAGGUCAAAGUCUUAGGAAAUUCCUUCAUGAGGAAGUCUAGGGGGGCUAUGGAAAUGAAAAUUUUUAAACAAAUAGGGAAAAGAAAGCUGGAUAAAGUAUUUAUAGAAGAUAGAGGACCUGUGGUGGCUCAUGCCUGUAAUCCAAGGUGGAAGGAUUGCUUGAGGCCAGAAGUUCAAGACCAGUCCAAGCAACAUAGCAAGGCCCCAUCUCUACAAAAAAAUGAAAAUAAAAUUAGCCGAGCGUGAUGGCUCAUGCCUGUAGUUCUAGCUUCCAGAGAGGCUGAGGCAGGAGGAUUGCUUGAGUCCAGGAGUUCAAGAUUACAAUGAGCUAUGGUCACACCACUGCACUCCAGCCUGGGUGAUGGAGUGAGACUGUCUCAAUAAAAAGACAAAAAGGUAAGAGGCCAUCCUAGGAAACAAUCCCGUGAGUGAUAUUUCAUGAAUUAUCUUCGUGAACCGGAGCAAGUCGCUUUGCCUUCCUGAACCUUCUCUGAGAUGGAAGGGUGAUCUGAAAAUAUGCCUCCCGGCUAAACCUCAGCCCUGGCUGGCAGAUCUGGCUGGCUAAUGGGACUCCCCUUUUCCUCUCCAUGGCUCCUGUGCCUCCCCCUCAAGACUGUGUGUAUUCCAAGAGGACUACAUUCCCAGGUGGGGGUGUAUUGUUCUUAUAAUGAAGGCUUACAGAAUUUCCUCGAAUGUUGCAUCUAGUUUUAGCGUUCUGAAUCUGUGAAUCACAAAUUAGAAUUGGUGCCUUUGGAAGAGGAGAUGGGACAUGAAGCCUGCUCCACCUUCUGAUAAUGCCCUAAAGAGCAGCUCAAAAGACAGCUAAAAGAACCCAGAAAACAAAAUAGGUAAGUCUUGAAGAGAG
RNAcentral lists this long non-coding RNA (1843 nucleotides) under Pan troglodytes (chimpanzee). RNAcentral describes it as "long non-coding RNA NONPTRT003529". Lineage: Eukaryota; Metazoa; Chordata; Mammalia; Primates; Hominidae. The record is from RNAcentral.